UGGGGAAUAUUGCACAAUGGAGGGAACUCUGAUGCAGCGACGCCGCGUGAACCAAGAAGGCUUUCGAGUCGUAAAGUUCUUUUAUAUGGGAAGAUAAUGACGGUACCAUAAGAAAAAGCCCCGGCUAACUACGUGCCAGCAGCCGCGGUAAUACGUAGGGGGCUAGCGUUGUCCGGAAUCACUGGGCGUAAAGGGUUCGCAGGCGGAAAUGCAAGUCAGGUGUAAAAGGCAGUAGCUUAACUACUGUAAGCAUUUGAAACUGCAUAUCUUGAGAAGAGUAGAGGUAAGUGGAAUUUUUAGUGUAGCGGUGAAAUGCGUAGAUAUUAAAAAGAAUACCGGUGGCGAAGGCGACUUACUGGGCUCAUUCUGACGCUGAGGAACGAAAGCGUGGGUAGCAAACAGG
This 403-nucleotide ribosomal RNA is filed under the name Fusobacteriota bacterium. Its description in RNAcentral is "Fusobacteria bacterium partial 16S ribosomal RNA". It matches the Rfam family "Bacterial small subunit ribosomal RNA", at positions 355 to 776 of the family's 1533-position model. Lineage: Bacteria; Fusobacteriati; Fusobacteriota. The record is from RNAcentral.